UACGUAGGGGGCGAGCGUUGUCCGAAUUCACUGGGCGUAAAGCGCGCGUAGGCGGAUCUUUAAGUCAGAGGUGAAAUGCCGAGGCUCAACCUCGGAACUGCCUUUGAAACUGGGGAUCUUGAGGUAUGGAGAGGGAAGUGGAAUUCCAGGUGUAGCGGUGAAAUGCGUAGAUAUCUGGAGGAACACCCGUGGCGAAGGCGGCUUCCUGGUCAUAUCCUGACGCUGAGGUGCGAAAGCUAGGGGAGCGAAC
Molecule: ribosomal RNA, 250 nt
Filed under: uncultured bacterium
Lineage: Bacteria
Description: partial 16S ribosomal RNA
Rfam family: Bacterial small subunit ribosomal RNA
Source: RNAcentral